UUAUGUUACAAGGAUGAGAAAAUUUUUUCAAUAUUAAUACAGUUAUCCCUGUCUUAAUAAAUCAUGUCGAGAAUUUAUAAUCUGAAGCAUUU
This 92-nucleotide small nucleolar RNA is filed under the name Candida tropicalis MYA-3404. RNAcentral's name for it is "Small nucleolar RNA R38". It matches the Rfam family "Small nucleolar RNA R38". From Rfam's summary of the family: snoR38 is a C/D box small nucleolar RNA conserved across yeast, human, Arabidopsis and rice. It is encoded in the intron of elongation factor-1 gamma in both pombe and cerevisiae. snoR38 guides the methylation of 2'-O-ribose sites in 28S rRNA. The record is from Rfam by way of RNAcentral. Lineage: Eukaryota; Fungi; Ascomycota; Pichiomycetes; Serinales; Debaryomycetaceae.